Long non-coding RNA from Perca fluviatilis (European perch), 390 nucleotides. RefSeq lists it as uncharacterized. Lineage: Eukaryota; Metazoa; Chordata; Actinopteri; Perciformes; Percidae. The record is from RefSeq and is a predicted model, not a curated record. The transcript has 4 exons.
GUGUUGCAUUCAUUUUCAAACGCGAGGGAGUGCUAAAUGCAUUGACAUAUAUUAGAAGUUAUUUGUUGACAUAUAUAUAAAAUGCAGCUAGCUAGCUAGUUAGUUAAGAAACUUGCUAUUCAAAAGACCUGAUGGAGGUGACAGAAUCCGAAGGACCCAGCUACUGUCACGCUCACAUGUCAGCCAGCCACAUAUGAAGAAGCACCCGGCACCACGCUGUCCGCUGUGGAAAGUGUUGAAGCGCUGGAGCCCAAGAGAAACAACUAUAUUGGUGUUGCCAUGGCUUCUGCUGUCGCCCUACUUGCCACUGCUGCCUCAAUGCUCUAUCUCAGUGACGUUUAAUACACACAUAUGCACACACCAAAAUAAAGUGUUUGUUUAUAACAUUUA